AUGAACGCUGGCGGCGUGCCUCAUACAUGCCAGUCGAGCGAACAGACGAGGAGCUUGCUCCUCUGACGUUAGCGGCGGACGGGUGAGUAACACGUGGAUAACCUACCUAUAAGACUGGGAUAACUUCGGGAAACCGGAGCUAAUACCGGAUAAUAUAUUGAACCGCAUGGUUCAAUAGUGAAAGACGGUUUUGCUGUCACUUAUAGAUGGAUUCGCGCCGCAUUAGCUAGUUGGUAAGGUAACGGCUUACCAAGGCGACGAUGCGUAGCCGACCUGAGAGGGUGAUCGGCCACACUGGAACUGAGACACGGUCCAGACUCCUACGGGAGGCAGCAGUAGGGAAUCUUCCGCAAUGGGCGAAAGCCUGACGGAGCAACGCCGCGUGAGUGAUGAAGGUCUUCGGAUCGUAAAACUCUGUUAUUAGGGAAGAACAAAUGUGUAAGUAACUAUGCACGUCUUGACGGUACCUAAUCAGAAAGCCACGGCUAACUACGUG
RNAcentral lists this ribosomal RNA (496 nucleotides) under uncultured bacterium. Its description in RNAcentral is "partial 16S ribosomal RNA". It matches the Rfam family "Bacterial small subunit ribosomal RNA", at positions 29 to 507 of the family's 1533-position model. The record is from RNAcentral.